GACGAACGCUGGCGGCGUGCCUAAUACAUGCAAGUAGAACGCUGAAGAGAGGAGCUUGCUCUUCUUGGAUGAGUUGCGAACGGGUGAGUAACGCGUAGGUAACCUGCCUUGUAGCGGGGGAUAACUAUUGGAAACGAUAGCUAAUACCGCAUAACAAUGGAUGACCCAUGUCAUUUAUUUGAAAGGGGCAAAUGCUCCACUACAAGAUGGACCUGCGUUGUAUUAGCUAGUAGGUGAGGUAACGGCUCACCUAGGCGACGAUACAUAGCCGACCUGAGAGGGUGAUCGGCCACACUGGGACUGAGACACGGCCCAGACUCCUGCGGGAGGCAGCAGUAGGGAAUCUUCGGCAAUGGGGGCAACCCUGACCGAGCAACGCCGCGUGAGUGAAGAAGGUUUUCGGAUCGUAAAGCUCUGUUGUAAGUCAAGAACGAGUGUGAGAGUGGAAAGUUCACACUGUGACGGUAGCUUACCAGAAAGGGACGGCUAACUACGUGCCAGCAGCCGCGGUAAUACGUAGGUCCCGAGCGUUGUCCGGAUUUAUUGGGCGUAAAGCGAGCGCAGGCGGUUUGAUAAGUCUGAAGUUAAAGGCUGUGGCUCAACCAUAGUUCGCUUUGGAAACUGUCAAACUUGAGUGCAGAAGGGGAGAGUGGAAUUCCAUGUGUAGCGGUGAAAUGCGUAGAUAUAUGGAGGAACACCGGUGGCGAAAGCGGCUCUCUGGUCUGUAACUGACGCUGAGGCUCGAAAGCGUGGGGAGCGAACAGGAUUAGAUACCCUGGUAGUCCACGCCGUAAACGAUGAGUGCUAGGUGUUGGAUCCUUUCCGGGAUUCAGUGCCGCAGCUAACGCAUUAAGCACUCCGCCUGGGGAGUACGACCGCAAGGUUGAAACUCAAAGGAAUUGACGGGGGCCCGCACAAGCGGUGGAGCAUGUGGUUUAAUUCGAAGCAACGCGAAGAACCUUACCAGGUCUUGACAUCCCGAUGCUAUUUCUAGAGAUAGAAAGUUACUUCGGUACAUCGGUGACAGGUGGUGCAUGGUUGUCGUCAGCUCGUGUCGUGAGAUGUUGGGUUAAGUCCCGCAACGAGCGCAACCCCUAUUGUUAGUUGCCAUCAUUCAGUUGGGCACUCUAGCGAGACUGCCGGUAAUAAACCGGAGGAAGGUGGGGAUGACGUCAAAUCAUCAUGCCCCUUAUGACCUGGGCUACACACGUGCUACAAUGGUUGGUACAACGAGUUGCGAGUCGGUGACGGCAAGCUAAUCUCUUAAAGCCAAUCUCAGUUCGGAUUGUAGGCUGCAACUCGCCUACAUGAAGUCGGAAUCGCUAGUAAUCGCGGAUCAGCACGCCGCGGUGAAUACGUUCCCGGGCCU
RNAcentral lists this ribosomal RNA (1369 nucleotides) under uncultured bacterium. RNAcentral's name for it is "bacterial SSU rRNA". It matches the Rfam family "Bacterial small subunit ribosomal RNA", at positions 28 to 1381 of the family's 1533-position model. The record is from RNAcentral.